Molecule: long non-coding RNA, 1605 nt
Organism: Nicotiana tabacum (common tobacco)
Lineage: Eukaryota; Viridiplantae; Streptophyta; Magnoliopsida; Solanales; Solanaceae
Source: RefSeq, a predicted model, not a curated record
UUUAUUUCUCUUUAUUUAUUAUAUUUUCUAGAUUAUCUAUGUUAGGUUUAUCAUGCAUGAGUUCAUGUUCAUCCUCUUGGGAUUAUCUUUUGUAUUUGAAUGUUAAUUCAUUGUUCUAGUUGAUAUAUCUUUCAGGGUCUUUGAAUUGUAUUCUUUACUUAGCUUAAUUCGUAUUAGUUGUUCUUGUUCUUCCUAGAUUAGUGUUUAUUAUAAGAACUUAAGGAGUCUAUCUAGUUCAUAGUUAGGUUGUUGUCUUUCUCUAUUUUAAACCCUAAUCUCGUAUCUUAUUGAUUCCGUGUAUUUUUGCAUUUUCAAUAUGAUUCCGUAUCAUCUUUGUAUUAGAGCGAAGGUUAAAGAUUGUUCAAUCAAUCCUUGGGUCAUUGUUCUGUUAUCAUCAAUCUGAAAAUCAAAAAUUACUAAAAAUAGCAGGUUACUGUUCAUCUGUGACUGAAAUACAAAUCGUAUCUCCUUGUUCUUCUAUGUUUGUUUCCAAAAUAGAAAUACAAAAGAUUAUCUCCCUCAAUUUUGAUUCUGAAACUUCUGAAUUUCUUCACUAUCUGAGAUUGAAUCACUUAUUUGAGCUGAAAUUCGAAGUUGGUUUGAGAAUUGAAACCUAAAUCGACCAACAGCAGAAAUCGAAAUUUGGAGGAUUUGCUCCGAAUCGAAAUUUUGAGCUCGAAAUCGAUUGGGUGAGUUCUAAUCUUGUUGGUACAUCUUGAUUGAGGUGAAAUCUGAUGAAUUAGGGCCGAUUUGAUCUGAAUCUCUAGGUUUGGGUUCAAAAUAUUUCGAAGCUGCUUCAGUGGAGAAGACGGCCUAGGGUUCAUCGAUUUAGUGAGCCUUGUUCCAAAUUGAUUUAGGAGCUUUGUUCGAGCUGUUGUUGGGAGUUUGUAAUCCAAAUUUGAGCUCCAUUGGUGAAGGUUUGGGUCAGUGACGAAUCGAAAAUGCUGUGGCGGAAUUCGACAAAAUUGCAGCUGUGUUCUUCAUCCGCUAGGAGUCGUUUGCUACUGAUUUGUCGCCUCGAACAUCAAUUCAUCGUCACACACAGGGUGUUAUUGACUGAGAAAAAAACCAGAAGAAUUUUCAGGCAUUCCAGCUGCAGUUUGAACUAAAUCUGCAGUAUUUGAACUUGUGUUUGAAGCAGAAAACCAGUUGAUCUUUGGGGAUUGAAAAUCUGUGAAUUGAAGAGGCCUAUAGCUGCUGUUAAGUUGAAUUGCAAACUGCAGGUUGUAGUUCCCUGCUGCUACAGUUUGGCUGCAAUUGUGAACAUCUUCAGUAGCUUGCAGUCACUGAUGAACUUUGCAUUUGAGCUACAACUUGGAGUCUUUUUACAGAAUUGUGAAGAAGAUUGCUCAGGAGAUCACCAACAGUCUGCAACCUUGUCAGUUAUUGUGAGGCUGUCCAGAAUUGCAGAUUUGACCAGUCCUUACCUAUGUGGCCAUUCUUUGCAAAUCCGACCAAUUUUACAAAACUAGCCAGUUUUUGAGAAUAUGACCAAAAUUUGGAUAAGUGUCUAGUUUUGUAGUUUCUUUUCUUUUAUUUCUUUUCAAUUUGUAGGAAACUCAACUCUUAACAAGAUUAACUUGAUAUUAGUUCAUAUUGAGUUUA